This 313-nucleotide ribosomal RNA is filed under the name uncultured bacterium. Its description in RNAcentral is "bacterial SSU rRNA". It matches the Rfam family "Bacterial small subunit ribosomal RNA", at positions 355 to 667 of the family's 1533-position model. The record is from RNAcentral.
UAGGGAAUUUUCGGCAAUGGGGGGAAACCCUGACCGAGCAACGCCGCGUGAGUGAUGAAAGUCUUCGGAUUGUAAAGCUCUGUUGUAAGGGAAGAACGGCUUGAGGAGAACUCAAGAGUGACGGUACCUUACCAGAAAGCCACGGCUAACUACGUGCCAGCAGCCGCGGUAAUACGUAGGUGGCGAGCGUUAUCCGGAAUUAUUGGGCGUAAAGGGUGCGUAGGCGGCCUUUUAAGUUGUGGUGAAAGCGUGGGGCUCAACCCCAUACAGCCAUAGAUACUGGAGGCUAGAGUACUGGAGAGGGCAGUGGAAU